UAUGGAAGGCAGCAGUGGGGAAUAUUGCACAAUGGGCGAAAGCCUGAUGCAGCUAUGCCGCGUGUAUGAAGAAGGCCUUAGGGUUGUAAAGUACUUUCAUCGGGGAGGAAAAACAAAACUAAUAAUUUUAUUUCUUGACGUUACCCGAAAAAGAAGCACCGGCUAACUCCGUGCCAGCAGCCGCGGUAAUACGGAGGGUGCUAGCGUUAAUCAGAAUUACUGGGCGUAAAGAGCACGUAGGUGGUUUUUUUAAGUCAGAUGUGAAAUCCCUGGGCUUAACCUGGAACUGCAUUUUGAAACUGAAAUACUAGAGUAUCGUAGAGGGAGGUAGAAUUCUAGGUGUAGCGGUGAAAUGCGUAGAUAUCUGGAGGAAUACCUGUGGCGAAAGCGGCCUCCUAAACGAAUACUGACACUGAGGUGCGAAAGCGUGGGGAGCAAACAGGGAUUAGAUACC
RNAcentral lists this ribosomal RNA (454 nucleotides) under uncultured bacterium. RNAcentral describes it as "bacterial SSU rRNA". It matches the Rfam family "Bacterial small subunit ribosomal RNA", at positions 340 to 786 of the family's 1533-position model. The record is from RNAcentral.